ACGAACGCUGGCGGCGUGCCUAAUACAUGCAAGUCGAACGCAUUUUCUUUCACCGUAGCUUGCUACACCGAAAGAAAAUGAGUGGCGAACGGGUGAGUAACACGUGGGUAACCUGCCCAUCAGCGGGGGAUAACACUUGGAAACAGGUGCUAAUACCGCAUAAUUCCAUUUACCGCAUGGUAGAUGGAUGAAAGGCGCUUUUGCGUCACUGAUGGAUGGACCCGCGGUGCAUUAGCUAGUUGGUGGGGUAACGGCCUACCAAGGCUGCGAUGCAUAGCCGACCUGAGAGGGUGAUCGGCCACACUGGGACUGAGACACGGCCCAGACUCCUACGGGAGGCAGCAGUAGGGAAUCUUCGGCAAUGGACGCAAGUCUGACCGAGCAACGCCGCGUGAGUGAAGAAGGUUUUCGGAUCGUAAAACUCUGUUGUUAGAGAA
RNAcentral lists this ribosomal RNA (437 nucleotides) under uncultured bacterium. RNAcentral describes it as "bacterial SSU rRNA". It matches the Rfam family "Bacterial small subunit ribosomal RNA", at positions 29 to 446 of the family's 1533-position model. The record is from RNAcentral.